GAUGAACGCUGGCUACAGGCUUAACACAUGCAGGUCGAGGGGAAACGACGGGGAAGCUUGCUUCCCCGGGCGUCGACCGGCGCACGGGUGAGUAACGCGUAUCCAACCUGCCUCUGACUGAGGGAUAACCCGUCGAAAGUCGGCCUAAUACCUCAUGGUAUCGUCUGCGGGCAUCCAACGACGAUUAAAGAUUUCAUCGGUCAGGGAUGGGGAUGCGUCUGAUUAGCUUGUUGGCGGGGUAACGGCCCACCAAGGCUACGAUCAGUAGGGGUUCUGAGAGGAAGGUCCCCCACAUUGGAACUGAGACACGGUCCAAACUCCUACGGGAGGCAGCAGUGAGGAAUAUUGGUCAAUGGGCGAGAGCCUGAACCAGCCAAGUAGCGUGCAGGAAGACGGCCCUAUGGGUUGUAAACUGCUUUUAUGCGGGGAUAAAGUGAGGGACGUGUCCCUCAUUGCAGGUACCGCAUGAAUAAGGACCGGCUAAUUCCGUG
RNAcentral lists this ribosomal RNA (491 nucleotides) under uncultured bacterium. Its description in RNAcentral is "partial 16S ribosomal RNA". It matches the Rfam family "Bacterial small subunit ribosomal RNA", at positions 28 to 507 of the family's 1533-position model. The record is from RNAcentral.